This 474-nucleotide ribosomal RNA is filed under the name uncultured bacterium. RNAcentral describes it as "bacterial SSU rRNA". It matches the Rfam family "Bacterial small subunit ribosomal RNA", at positions 25 to 518 of the family's 1533-position model. The record is from RNAcentral.
CAGAAUCAACGCUGGCGGCGUGCCUAACACAUGCAAGUCGAACGAGAAAGGGGAGCAAUCCCUGAGUAAAGUGGCGACCGGGUGAGUAACACGUGACUAACUACCCCUUGGCGGGGAAUAACUCCGGGAAACCGGGGCUAAUACCGCAUAACAUCUUUGGGUCGAAAGAUCUGGAGAUCAAAGCAGCAAUGCGCCGAGGAGGGGGUCGCGGCUGAUUAGCUAGUUGCGGGUAACGGCCCACCAAGGCGAAGAUCGGUAUCCGGCCUGAGAGGGCGCACGGACACACUGGAACUGAAACACGGUCCAGACUCCUACGGGAGGCAGCAGUGGGGAAUUUUGCGCAAUGGGGGGAAACCCUGACGCAGCAACGCCGCGUGGAGGAUGAAGCCCUUUGGGGCGUAAACUCCUUUCGACCCGGACGAUAAUGACGGUACGGGUGGAAGAAGCACCGGCUAACUCUGUGCCAGCCGCGGC